This 1299-nucleotide long non-coding RNA is filed under the name Marmota monax (woodchuck). Lineage: Eukaryota; Metazoa; Chordata; Mammalia; Rodentia; Sciuridae. The record is from RNAcentral.
GAGAAAUAUGGUAAUAUAUAGCAAAAAUAAAUAAAAUCCUGUUUUAGUUGAAUCUGAGGAACAAGAUUCAAAAAAUAGGAGGCUACUCAGGCAAACGGACUCUUUAGGAAAUGUUUAACCAAAAUACUUGAUUCUAUUAAUUUGAUGUGCGUAAUUUUCAUUGAGGAAAAUUAAGACCAACAAGCAUUCUGAACUAUUUAUUAUAAGUAGAAGAUUUUUAAAAUCCUUGGUAGGGCAUUUCAUUUCUAGGCUAGCAACAUCAGGCAGUGCAUGAAAACACACCCUGGCUAUGUGGGCCUGCUCUUAGUUCUAAGAUUCUCUCCAGUUUCUUUGCAGUGAAGUAGUCAUUCAUGUGAAGUAAACAAUGUGUUAUUCAUCCUCCUUGGGCAGACUGUCAUAUGUUGACUAUUUUUCCCGUUUGGGCUCCCCCCCCCCCAAAAAAAAAAAAACUUAUUCCAAAUAUAUCAGUUUGAAAAGUUAAGAAAUACACCUCCAAGUCUCUUCCUUCAAGUUUAUAUCUUAAAGUUUUUGAUCUCCCUGCCAUUUUGGAGAUCAAAACCAGAAUUUUAAAAACUGUUUUGCCCUACUGUUGUCCAAAGACAACAACAUUGAGGAAUAUUGUCAUUAAUAUUUUUCUGGAAUAAAUUCCAACCAAUGUCUGAUUUUUCAAAGUAUCAUUUUUUCUGACAGGGACUUAUCUCUCUCUCUCUUUCUCUCUCUCUCUCUCUCUCUCUCUCUCUCACACACACACACACACACACACACACAAACACACACACAAAUAACAAAUAAUUUUUUUAAGAAAUUUAAAAAAAAGGCCACUGUAAAUUCUUGCCAGCUAAAAUAAUAUUUAUAAACAAUCCUUAACUAUAUAUUAUCUUGACAAUUAUCUUGACUAUUUAGUUUUAUUCCUGUGUGUCUGGUUAUUUGGUUGUUACCAUGGGUAAGGUUGAAAUACUUAACAUGAGUCAUUCUUCAAUGAAAAGAUAUCACAUGGACAUCAGAGCUCUUACUUCUAAACCAGCUCUCCAUUAAUCCAUUACUUGCCCCUGUGCUAACUCCACAUUUCAUUGAGCUUCAAGUCAUCUGCUAAAAUAAUUAAAUUACAUGAACUCUAAUGACCCAUUAUGUACUAAAAAUCUAAAUGGUUGUGGUUCAAAGUUAACAAGAAUUUGGUUUGGGUUGAUGUAGCACAAAUUUGUGUAAUUUUCACCACAUCUUUCAUCUUUUUUAUUUGGUACAUUUAUGGAUUAAAGAAAUUAAAUUUAUCAUCUAGUCAUUAAAAUUCACAUUAACAAA